GGAGACUGACAAGUUCCCGGGA
RNAcentral lists this microRNA (22 nucleotides) under Mus musculus (house mouse). Its description in RNAcentral is "Mmu-Mir-873-v2_3p* (star (passenger))". Lineage: Eukaryota; Metazoa; Chordata; Mammalia; Rodentia; Muridae. RNAcentral also lists the same sequence under 1 other name. The record is from RNAcentral.